This 253-nucleotide ribosomal RNA is filed under the name uncultured bacterium. RNAcentral describes it as "partial 16S ribosomal RNA". It matches the Rfam family "Bacterial small subunit ribosomal RNA", at positions 524 to 776 of the family's 1533-position model. The record is from RNAcentral.
UACGUAGGGUGCGAGCGUUAAUCGGAAUUACUGGGCGUAAAGUGUGCGCAGGCGGCAGAGCAAGUCGAGUGUGAAAGCCCCGGGCUUAACUUGGGAAUUGCGCUCGAAACUACUUUGCUGGAGUGUGGCAGAGGAAGGUGGAAUUCCACGUGUAGCGGUGAAAUGCGUAGAUAUCAUUUGGAACGCCAAUGGUGAAAACAGGUAGCUGGGAGUGUGCUGACGCUGAGACACGAAAGCCAGGGGAGCGAACGGG